CCGAUAAUGCCGUUUUUGAAGGGUUCUAUUCCCAACCGUGUAUACAUACCUUUGUUGCUUUGGCAGGCCGCCUUCGGGCGUCGGCUCACGCUGACCGCGCCUGCCAGAGGACCCAAACUCGUUUGUUUAGUGAUGUCUGAGUACUAUAUAAUAGUUAAAACUUUCAACAACGGAUCUCUUGGUUCUGGCAUCGAUGAAGAACGCAGCGAAAUGCGAUAAGUAAUGUGAAUUGCAGAAUUCAGUGAAUCAUCGAAUCUUUGAACGCACAUUGCGCCCCUUGGUAUUCCGAGGGGCAUGCCUGUUCGAGCGUCAUUAUGACCACUCAAGCCUAGCUUGGUAUUGGGGUUCGCGGUCUCGCGGCCCUUAAAACCAGUGGCGGUGCCAUCUGGCUCUAAGCGUAGUAAUUUAUCUCGCUAUUGGGUCCGGUGGUUGCUUGCCAACAACCUCCAACUUCUAAGGUUGACCUCGGAUCAGGUAGGGAUACCCGCUGAACUUAAGCAUAUCAAUAGCGGGGAAGAAAA
Molecule: ribosomal RNA, 521 nt
Filed under: fungal sp. M13
Lineage: Eukaryota; Fungi
Description: eukaryotic LSU rRNA
Rfam family: 5.8S ribosomal RNA (bases 159-312)
Source: RNAcentral